GAGUUUGAUCAUGGCUCAGAUUGAACGCUGGCGGCAUGCCUUACACAUGCAAGUCGAACGGCAGCACGGGAGCUUGCUCCUGGUGGCGAGUGGCGAACGGGUGAGUAAUGCAUCGGAACGUAUCCUGGAGUGGGGGGAUAACGUAGCGAAAGUUACGCUAAUACCGCAUAUUCUGUGAGCAGGAAAGCGGGGGACCUUCGGGCCUCGCGCUCUUGGAGCGGCCGAUGUCGGAUUAGCUAGUUGGUGAGGUAAAGGCUCACCAAGGCGACGAUCCGUAGCAGGUCUGAGAGGAUGAUCUGCCACACUGGAACUGAGACACGGUCCAGACUCCUACGGGAGGCAGCAGUGGGGAAUUUUGGACAAUGGGGGCAACCCUGAUCCAGCCAUGCCGCGUGAGUGAAGAAGG
RNAcentral lists this ribosomal RNA (406 nucleotides) under bacterium enrichment culture clone ALO1_GLFRUDD03FPHKL. RNAcentral's name for it is "bacterial SSU rRNA". It matches the Rfam family "Bacterial small subunit ribosomal RNA", at positions 9 to 414 of the family's 1533-position model. The record is from RNAcentral.